AAAUUGAAGAGUUUGAUCAUGGCUCAGAUUGAACGCUGGCGGCAGGCCUAACACAUGCAAGUCGAACGGUAACAGAAAUCAGCUUGCUGAUUUGCUGACGAGUGGCGGACGGGUGAGUAA
Molecule: ribosomal RNA, 120 nt
Filed under: Escherichia coli
Lineage: Bacteria; Pseudomonadati; Pseudomonadota; Gammaproteobacteria; Enterobacterales; Enterobacteriaceae
Description: partial 16S ribosomal RNA
Rfam family: Bacterial small subunit ribosomal RNA
Source: RNAcentral